GCCGAACCGUGCGAACGUUAUUCGGAAUCACUGGGCUUAAAGCGCGUGUAGGCGGGACGGCACGUCGGUCGCUGAAAGCCCCCGGCUCAACCGGGGAACGGGCGCCGAUACGACCGUCCUGGAGGGACGUAGGGGGACCUGGAACUUCCGGUGGAGCGGUGAAAUGCGUUGAGAUCGGAAGGAACGCCCGUGGCGAAAGCGAGGUCCUGGGACGGUACUGACGCUGAGACGCGAAAGCGUGGGGAGCGAACAGG
This 254-nucleotide ribosomal RNA is filed under the name uncultured bacterium. RNAcentral describes it as "partial 16S ribosomal RNA". It matches the Rfam family "Bacterial small subunit ribosomal RNA", at positions 524 to 776 of the family's 1533-position model. The record is from RNAcentral.